UACGUAGGUUGCGAGCGUUAUUCGGAUUUACUGGGCGUAAAGAGCACCGAGGUGGCUUCUUAAGUUGGAUGUAAAAUCUCCUGGCUUAACUGGGAGGCGCCAUUCAAAACUGAGGAGCUUGAGGUCAGCAGGGGAAGGUGGAAUUCCCGGUGUAGUGGUGGAAUGCGUAGAGAUCGGGAGGAACACCAGUGGCGAAAGCGGGUCUCUGGGCCGAUACUGACGCUGAGGAGCGAAAGCGUGGGGAGCGAACAGG
Molecule: ribosomal RNA, 253 nt
Filed under: uncultured bacterium
Lineage: Bacteria
Description: partial 16S ribosomal RNA
Rfam family: Bacterial small subunit ribosomal RNA
Source: RNAcentral